RNAcentral lists this ribosomal RNA (253 nucleotides) under uncultured bacterium. Its description in RNAcentral is "partial 16S ribosomal RNA". It matches the Rfam family "Bacterial small subunit ribosomal RNA", at positions 524 to 776 of the family's 1533-position model. The record is from RNAcentral.
UACGUAGGGUGCGAGCGUUGUCCGGAAUUACUGGGCGUAAAGCGCGUGUAGGCGGUUGUCCAAGUCGGGGGUGAAAGCCUUGAGCUCAACUCAAGAAAUGCACUCGAUACUGGGCGACUAGAGUGCCGGAGAGGAUAGUGGAAUUCCCAGUGUAGUGGUGAAAUACGUAGAGAUUGGGAAGAACACCAGUGGCGAAGGCGGCUAUCUGGACGGUUACUGACGCUAAGACGCGAAAGCGUGGGGAGCGAACAGG